RNAcentral lists this transfer RNA (64 nucleotides) under Parachauliodes asahinai. RNAcentral's name for it is "tRNA-His". Lineage: Eukaryota; Metazoa; Arthropoda; Insecta; Megaloptera; Corydalidae. The record is from RNAcentral.
AUUUAGGUAGUUUAAUAAAAAUUUUGAUUUGUGGUGUCAAAGAUAUAUGAAAGUAUCCUAGAUU